UUAAGCGACUAAGCGUACACGGUGGAUGCCUAGGCAAUCAGAGGCGAUGAAGGACGUGCUAAUCUGCGAAAAGCGUCGGUAAGGUGAUAUGAACCGUUAUAACCGACGAUGUCCGAAUGGGGAAACCCAGUGCAAUUCGUUGCACUAUCGUUUGAUGAAUCCAUAGUCAAACGAAGCGAACCGGGGGAACUGAAACAUCUCAGUACCCCGAGGAAAAGAAAUCAACCGAGAUUCCCCUAGUAGCGGCGAGCGAACGGGGAGCAGCCCAGAGUCUUAAUCAGCAUCAGCAUCAGGAGAACGGUCUGGAAAGGCCGGCAAUAAAGGGUGAUAGCCCCGUAUCCGAAGGUGUUGGUGUUGUGAACUCGACGAGUAGGGCGGGACACGUGUUAUCCUGUCUGAAUAUGGGGGGACCAUCCUCCAAGGCUAAAUACUCCUGAUUGACCGAUAGUGAACCAGUACCGUGAGGGAAAGGCGAAAAGAACCCCGGCGAGGGGAGUGAAAUAGAACCUGAAACCGUGUACGUACAAGCAGUGGGAGCCUUGAUUUAUCAGGGUGACUGCGUACCUUUUGUAUAAUGGGUCAGCGACUUAUAUUCUGUAGCAAGGUUAACCGUAUAGGGGAGCCGUAGGGAAACCGAGUCUUAACUGGGCGAAUGAGUUGCAGGGUAUAGACCCGAAACCCGGUGAUCUAGCCAUGGGCAGGUUGAAGGUUGGGUAACACUAACUGGAGGACCGAACCGACUAAUGUUGAAAAAUUAGCGGAUGACUUGUGGCUGGGGGUGAAAGGCCAAUCAAACCGGGAGAUAGCUGGUUCUCCCCGAAAGCUAUUUAGGUAGCGCCUCGUGAACUCAUCUUCGGGGGUAGAGCACUGUUUCGGCUAGGGGGUCAUCCCGACUUACCAACCCGAUGCAAACUACGAAUACCGAAGAAUGUUAUCACGGGAGACACACGGCGGGUGCUAACGUUCGUCGUGAAGAGGGAAACAACCCAGACCGCCAGCUAAGGUCCCAAAGUCAUGGUUAAGUGGGAAACGAAGUGGGAAGGCUCAGACAGCCAGGAUGUUGGCUUAGAAGCAGCCAUCAUUUAAAGAAAGCGUAAUAGCUCACUGGUCGAGUCGGCCUGCGCGGAAGAUGUAACGGGGCUAAACCAUGCACCGAAGCUGCGGCAGCGACAUGUAAAUGUUGUUGGGUAGGGGAGCGUUCUGUAAGCCUGUGAAGGUGUGCUGCGAGGCAUGCUGGAGGUAUCAGAAGUGCGAAUGCUGACAUAAGUAACGAUAAUGCGGGUGAAAAACCCGCACGCCGGAAGACCAAGGGUUCCUGUCCAACGUUAAUCGGGGCAGGGUGAGUCGACCCCUAAGGCGAGGCAGAAAUGCGUAGUCGAUGGGAAACAGGUUAAUAUUCCUGUACUGGUGAUAAUUGCGAUGGGGGGACGGAGAAGGCUAGGCUGGCCGGGCGACGGUUGUCCCGGUUUAAGGAUGUAGGUGGGCGAAUUAGGCAAAUCCGGUUCGCUAUACACUGAGGUCUGAUGACGAGUCACUACGGUGGCGAAGUAGCUCAUGCCCCGCUUCCAGGAAAAGCCUCUAAGCUCUAGAUUAUCAUUAAUCGUACCCCAAACCGACACAGGUGGUCAGGUAGAGAAUACUCAGGCGCUUGAGAGAACUCGGGUGAAGGAACUAGGCAAAAUGGUGCCGUAACUUCGGGAGAAGGCACGCUGGCGCUAGGUGAAGUGGUUUACCCAUGGAGCUGAAGCCAGUCGCAGAUACCAGCUGGCUGCAACUGUUUAUUAAAAACACAGCACUGUGCAAACACGAAAGUGGACGUAUACGGUGUGACGCCUGCCCGGUGCUGGAAGGUUAAUUGAUGGGGUUAUCCGUAAGGAGAAGCUCUUGAUCGAAGCCCCAGUAAACGGCGGCCGUAACUAUAACGGUCCUAAGGUAGCGAAAUUCCUUGUCGGGUAAGUUCCGACCUGCACGAAUGGCGUAAUGAUGGCCAGGCUGUCUCCACCCGAGACUCAGUGAAAUUGAACUCGCUGUGAAGAUGCAGUGUACCCGCGGCAAGACGGAAAGACCCCGUGAACCUUUACUAUAGCUUGACACUGAACAUUGAGCCUUGAUGUGUAGGAUAGGUGGGAGGCUUUGAAGUGUGGACGCCAGUCUGCAUGGAGCCAACCUUGAAAUACCACCCUUUAAUGUUUGAUGUUCUAACGUUGCCCCGUGAUCCGGGGUGCGGACAGUGUCUGGUGGGUAGUUUGACUGGGGCGGUCUCCUCCCAAAGCGUAACGGAGGAGCACGAAGGUUGGCUAAGCAUGGUCGGACAUCAUGCGGUUAGUGCAAAGGCAUAAGCCAGCUUGACUGCGAGAGUGACGGCUCGAGCAGGUACGAAAGUAGGUCUUAGUGAUCCGGUGGUUCUGAAUGGAAGGGCCAUCGCUCAACGGAUAAAAGGUACUCCGGGGAUAACAGGCUGAUACCGCCCAAGAGUUCAUAUCGACGGCGGUGUUUGGCACCUCGAUGUCGGCUCAUCACAUCCUGGGGCUGAAGUAGGUCCCAAGGGUAUGGCUGUUCGCCAUUUAAAGUGGUACGCGAGCUGGGUUUAGAACGUCGUGAGACAGUUCGGUCCCUAUCUGCCGUGGGCGUUGGAAGAUUGAAAGGGGCUGCUCCUAGUACGAGAGGACCGGAGUGGACGCACCGCUGGUGUUCGGGUUGUCAUGCCAAUGGCACUGCCCGGUAGCUAAGUGCGGAAGAGAUAACCGCUGAAAGCAUCUAAGCGGGAAACUUGCCUUGAGAUGAGUCUUCCCUGACUCUUUAAGGGUCCUAAAGGAACGUUUAAGACGAAGACGUUGAUAGGCUGGGUGUGUAAGCGUAGCGAUACGUUGAGCUAACCAGUACUAAUGAACCGUGAGGCUUAACCUG
RNAcentral lists this ribosomal RNA (2907 nucleotides) under Providencia stuartii. Its description in RNAcentral is "bacterial LSU rRNA". It matches the Rfam family "Bacterial large subunit ribosomal RNA". The record is from RNAcentral. Lineage: Bacteria; Pseudomonadati; Pseudomonadota; Gammaproteobacteria; Enterobacterales; Morganellaceae.